GAUCCUUGUUUGUCAAAGCUCCAGCCCCUGGGGACCCCAGACGCCCCUGUGUUUUGCACAUGAAUAGGUGGAGAUUUCCUGAGACCAUCUUGCCAUGAAAAUGCACAUUUCUCACCAAAAGGCUCCAAAUCUGGGCACCACAGACUCCAGCAAAGAGCCAGGCUGACCGUGCCCCAGGUGUGAAGGUGGCUGGACCCUCCCAGGGGCUGCCUGGAUCCCAGCCAGCUGGAGGAAGCCACCCAGGUGUCUGUGAGGAGCCAGCACCCUGAGGUUGCCAAACAAACCCAUGGCCCUCUCCGCAGACAGGAGGAGGCGUGGAGUUUGGAACCACCUCCCCAGACUCCAGCUGCCUGGCAGAGAUCUUCAGGGCUGGGGGUGAACCUAGAAACCAACCACCUCUCUAGCCCGUGAAUGGAACCUCAUUUGGAAAUAGGGGCUUGGCAGAGGCAAUGAAAGCUAAGAUGAGGUCCUGCUGGAAUUCUGGGACGAGGCUAAAUCCAGUGACUGGUGUCCUCAUAAGAAGAGGGAAAUCUGGACACACAGACACACAGAGGAGAAGGCCAUGUGGUGAUGGAGGCAGAAUCGAGUGAUGCAGCUGCAAGCCAAGGAAUGCUGGCAGCCAGCAGCAGCCAGAAGAGGCAAGGAAGGACCACCCCCCAGAGCCUUCUGAGGGAGCAGGGCCCUGCUGACACCUUGAUUUCUGCCUUCUGCCCUCCAGAACUGCAAGACAAUACAUUUCUGUUGUUUAAGGCUGCCUGGUUUGUGGUCAUUUGUCACAGCUGCCCUGGGAAAACCAGCUGGGUGAAGUGCAGGGGUGGGGAAGAUCCUUCCAGGCAGG
This 838-nucleotide long non-coding RNA is filed under the name Homo sapiens (human). Its description in RNAcentral is "HSALNT0177661". The record is from RNAcentral. Lineage: Eukaryota; Metazoa; Chordata; Mammalia; Primates; Hominidae.